UCAUUAACUGGACGUUACCCACAGAAGAAGCACCGGCUAACUCCGUGCCAGCAGCCGCGGUAAUACGGAGGGUGCGAGCGUUAAUCGGAAUUACUGGGCGUAAAGGGUGCGUAGGUGGUUGAUUAAGUUAUCUGUGAAAUUCCUGGGCUUAACCUGGGACGGUCAGAUAAUACUGGUUGACUCGAGUAUGGGAGAGGGUAGUGGAAUUUCCGGUGUAGCGGUGAAAUGCGUAGAGAUCGGAAGGAACACCAGUGGCGAAGGCGGCUACCUGGCCUAAUACUGACACUGAGGCACGAAAGCGUGGGGAGCAAACAGGAUUAGAUACCCUGGUAGUCC
Molecule: ribosomal RNA, 336 nt
Filed under: uncultured Legionella sp.
Lineage: Bacteria; Pseudomonadati; Pseudomonadota; Gammaproteobacteria; Legionellales; Legionellaceae
Description: bacterial SSU rRNA
Rfam family: Bacterial small subunit ribosomal RNA
Source: RNAcentral